GACUUUGAUGUGUCAUUUUUACUCAUUGUGUAUUUUGGUUCAGGAAUUUGAUGUAAGUGAAAUGAAUGUCUAAUCAAGCUAGUUGAAAAGUAUGGUGUAGAAGAUGGUCUAUCAUUGCAAAGUUUUUACCAGGUCGAAUAGUAUGGUAACAAGUGGGUAGAAAUAGCAAGGUUUCUACCUGGAAGGACUGACAAUGCAAUUAUAAAUGACUGGAAUGGGGCAUUCAAGAGGAAAGAACAUUCAUACUCUCACAAUGGUAAAUGGGAGAUGCAUCCUGAUAUAAUCACAUGCUGAUUCAAGACGUCAAGAAGCACAGCGUCUUGGUUGUAUUCUGAGGGCUAAGGUUAUCAAGGCAAAUGCUGGUCUUACCCCUGAGCAUUAUCAGUUUUUCCUGUACCAGCUUGUUCGUGGUUUAAAGUAUAUUCAUACAGCAAGUGUAUUUCAUCAAGAUUUAAAGCCAAAAAAUAUCCUUACUAAUGCUGACUGCAAAUUAAAGAUAUGAAACAUUGGGCUUGCUCGACUAUCUUUCAAUGAUGCCCCAUAUACUAUUUUUUAGAUUGUAAGUUGCCACCAAAUGAUACGCUAAAAGCAAACAUAUAAUUUAACCCUAGAAAUGUCAUCGUUAGUAUAUAGUAAAUAGGGCUCGUUCUAUUCCGGAGAUUGAGGGUA
Long non-coding RNA from Rosa chinensis, 669 nucleotides. RefSeq lists it as uncharacterized. The transcript is spliced from 4 exons. NCBI's taxonomy places the organism in Eukaryota, Viridiplantae, Streptophyta, Magnoliopsida, Rosales, Rosaceae. The record is from RefSeq and is a predicted model, not a curated record.